This 460-nucleotide ribosomal RNA is filed under the name uncultured bacterium. RNAcentral's name for it is "partial 16S ribosomal RNA". It matches the Rfam family "Bacterial small subunit ribosomal RNA", at positions 338 to 795 of the family's 1533-position model. The record is from RNAcentral.
CCUACGGGUGGCAGCAGUGAGGAAUAUUGGUCAAUGGACGAGAGUCUGAACCAGCCAAGUAGCGUGAAGGAUGACUGCCCUAUGGGUUGUAAACUUCUUUUAUAUGGGAAUAAAACGUUCCACGUGUGGGAUUUUGUAUGUACCAUAUGAAUAAGGAUCGGCUAACUCCGUGCCAGCAGCCGCGGUAAUACGGAGGAUCCGAGCGUUAUCCGGAUUUAUUGGGUUUAAAGGGAGCGUAGGUGGAUUGUUAAGUCAGUUGUGAAAGUUUGCGGCUCAACCGUAAAAUUGCAGUUGAAACUGGCAGUCUUGAGUACAGUAGUGGUGGGCGGAAUUCGUGGUGUAGCGGUGAAAUGCUUAGAUAUCACGAAGAACUCCGAUUGCGAAGGCAGUUCACUGGACUGCAACUGACACUGAGGCUCGAAAGUGUGGGUAUCAAACAGGAUUAGAUACCCUUGUAGUC